RNAcentral lists this ribosomal RNA (253 nucleotides) under uncultured bacterium. Its description in RNAcentral is "partial 16S ribosomal RNA". It matches the Rfam family "Bacterial small subunit ribosomal RNA", at positions 524 to 776 of the family's 1533-position model. The record is from RNAcentral.
GACAGAGGGUGCAAACGUUGUUCGGAUUUACUGGGCGUAAAGCGCGUGUAGGCGGCUUUGCAAGUCGGAUGUGAAAGCCCACGGCUCAACCGUGGAAGUGCAUCCGAAACUGCAUGGCUCGAGUCUCGGAGAGGAAGGUGGAAUGCUUGGUGUAGAGGUGAAAUUCGUAGAUAUCGAGAGGAACACCGGCGGCGAAGGCGGCCAACUGGACGAAUACUGACGCUGAGACACGAAAGCGUGGGGAGCAAACAGG